Molecule: ribosomal RNA, 253 nt
Filed under: uncultured bacterium
Lineage: Bacteria
Description: partial 16S ribosomal RNA
Rfam family: Bacterial small subunit ribosomal RNA
Source: RNAcentral
GACGGAGGAGGCUAGCGUUGUUCGGAAUUACUGGGCGUAAAGCGCGCGCGGGCGGUUAUGCAAGUCAGGGGUGAAAGCCCGAGGCUCAACCUCGGAACGGCCUUUGCGACUGCAUGACUAGAGACCGGGAGAGGAGAGUGGAAUUCCCAGUGUAGAGGUGAAAUUCGUAGAUAUUGGGAAGAACACCAGUGGCGAAGGCGGCUCUCUGGCCCGGACCUGACGCUGAGGCGCGAAGGCCAGGGGAGCAAACGGG